Molecule: ribosomal RNA, 253 nt
Filed under: uncultured bacterium
Lineage: Bacteria
Description: partial 16S ribosomal RNA
Rfam family: Bacterial small subunit ribosomal RNA
Source: RNAcentral
UACGUAGGGUGCGAGCGUUAAUCGGAAUUACUGGGCGUAAAGGGUGCGCAGGCGGUUAUGCAAGUCAGGCGUGAAAGCCCCGGGCUUAACCUGGGAAUGGCGCUUGAAACUACAGGACUGGAGUAUGGCAGAGGGAGGUGGAAUUCCACGUGUAGCGGUGAAAUGCGUAGAGAUGUGGAGGAACACCGAUGGCGAAGGCAGCCUCCUGGGCCAAUACUGACGCUCAUGCACGAAAGCGUGGGGAGCAAACAGG